CUACUCUUGACAUCCAGAGAAUUCGCUAGAGAUAGCUUAGUGCCUUCGGGAACUCUGAGACAGGUGCUGCAUGGCUGUCGUCAGCUCGUGUUGUGAAAUGUUGGGUUAAGUCCCGCAACGAGCGCAACCCUUAUCCUUUGUUGCCAGCGCGUAAUGGUGGGAACUCAAAGGAGACUGCCGGUGAUAAACCGGAGGAAGGUGGGGAUGACGUCAAGUCAUCAUGGCCCUUACGAGUAGGGCUACACACGUGCUACAAUGGCGUAUACAAAGAGAAGCGAACUCGCGAGAGCCAGCGGACCUCAUAAAGUACGUCGUAGUCCGGAUCUGAGUCUGCAACUCGACUCCGUGAAGUCGGAAUCGCUAGUAAUCGUAGAUCAGAAUGCUACGGUGAAUACGUUCCC
RNAcentral lists this ribosomal RNA (401 nucleotides) under uncultured bacterium. Its description in RNAcentral is "bacterial SSU rRNA". It matches the Rfam family "Bacterial small subunit ribosomal RNA", at positions 975 to 1375 of the family's 1533-position model. The record is from RNAcentral.